CUCUAUUGACAGGUUGCUAAGGAGAUAAGAUUGUUUUGCUUACCUUCACUAGAAGAGGUUCAUUUCAUGAUACCAGAGUGGAGAGACAAGGAGAUCCACUACAGGACCACCACAAGGCCAAAAACUGAUGUAAUGAAGUAAGGUGCUGGUGCUAUAUGUUUGGAUAUAGGUCUACAGUUUCCCAUCAAAUGUCAGCAAGAAGAUGGUAAGUACCAGUGAAAAUCUGGUUGCUACCCGACUCUGCAGGUAAGGCCACACAUACGUUCAGAUACAAUAAUGUUCUCAUAGAGAAGAGGAUAUUACUACUGAGAGAGAGAGUAUUUACAACUGUUACAACACUCAUAUAGUUCUAUGAAGCUCAUAGCAAUCUUUUACAAAAUGUAUAUGAGGAUAUUAUCUAGGUUUGUGAAGUGUCUAAAUGCCAAAAAAAACAUGGUUAACUGAGAUGAAAGUUGAACGAAUAAUUACAUGAGAAUCUGAUGUAUCCUAAUGAAUAUAUGAUGCAUAUAUAAUGCUUUCUCCAUAUGGUACAUAUGAGGGUUGCUAUGCCAAAUAAAGUGGUUGCUAUGCUGGUUGCAAGCGUAAUCAUGUUGGUUGCUAUGGUGGUUGCUAGGUUGACAUUAUA
Molecule: long non-coding RNA, 625 nt
Organism: Alosa alosa (allis shad)
Lineage: Eukaryota; Metazoa; Chordata; Actinopteri; Clupeiformes; Clupeidae
Exons: 3
Source: RefSeq, a predicted model, not a curated record